RNAcentral lists this ribosomal RNA (497 nucleotides) under uncultured bacterium. Its description in RNAcentral is "partial 16S ribosomal RNA". It matches the Rfam family "Bacterial small subunit ribosomal RNA", at positions 28 to 507 of the family's 1533-position model. The record is from RNAcentral.
GAUGAACGCUGGCGGCGUGCCUAAUACAUGCAAGUCGAGCGAAUGGACGAGAAGCUUGCUCCUCUGAUGUUAGCGGCGGACGGGUGAGUAACACGUGGAUAACCUACCUAUAAGACUGGGAUAACUUCGGGAAACCGGAGCUAAUACCGGAUAAUAUUUUGAACCGCAUGGUUCAAAAGUGAAAGACGGUCUUGCUGUCACUUAUAGAUGGAUCCGCGCUGCAUUAGCUAGUUGGUAAGGUAACGGCUUACCAAGGCAACGAUGCAUAGCCGACCUGAGAGGGUGAUCGGCCACACUGGAACUGAGACACGGUCCAGACUCCUACGGGAGGCAGCAGUAGGGAAUCUUCCGCAAUGGGCGAAAGCCUGACGGAGCAACGCCGCGUGAGUGAUGAAGGUCUUCGGAUCGUAAAACUCUGUUAUUAGGGAAGAACAUAUGUGUAAGUAACUGUGCACAUCUUGACGGUACCUAAUCAGAAAGCCACGGCUAACUACGUG